RNAcentral lists this ribosomal RNA (493 nucleotides) under uncultured bacterium. RNAcentral describes it as "partial 16S ribosomal RNA". It matches the Rfam family "Bacterial small subunit ribosomal RNA", at positions 30 to 507 of the family's 1533-position model. The record is from RNAcentral.
AGUGAACGCUGGCGGUAGGCCUAACACAUGCAAGUCGAACGGCAGCACAGUAAGAGCUUGCUCUUACGGGUGGCGAGUGGCGGACGGGUGAGGAAUACAUCGGAAUCUACUUUUUCGUGGGGGAUAACGUAGGGAAACUUACGCUAAUACCGCAUACGACCUACGGGUGAAAGCAGGGGAUCUUCGGACCUUGCGCGAUUGAAUGAGCCGAUGUCGGAUUAGCUAGUUGGCGGGGUAAAGGCCCACCAAGGCGACGAUCCGUAGCUGGUCUGAGAGGAUGAGAAGCCACACUGGAGAAGAGAAAAGGUCCCCAGUCCCACGGGGGGGAGCAGGGGGGGAAAUUGGGGAAUGGGGGGAAAACUGUGACCGCCCCAACGCGUGGGGGAAGAAGGGCCUCGGGGUGUAAAGACCUUUUUUUGGGGAAGAAAAACAGAAGGGUUAUAACCCCCGGUUCUGAAGGGGCCCCAAAAAAAAAAACCCGGUAAACUUGGGU